RNAcentral lists this ribosomal RNA (498 nucleotides) under uncultured bacterium. Its description in RNAcentral is "partial 16S ribosomal RNA". It matches the Rfam family "Bacterial small subunit ribosomal RNA", at positions 29 to 507 of the family's 1533-position model. The record is from RNAcentral.
ACGCACGCUGGCGGCGUGCUUCACCCAUGCAAGUCGAACGGGCCCGCCCCUGUUUUUGGGGGUGGGUUGAGUGGCGAACGGGUGAGUAUCACGUGAGUAACCUGCCCCCUGCUCCUGGAUAACUGCUUGAAAGGGCGGCUAAUACGGGGUGUGCCGGCUGGUCCGCAUGGGCCUGGUCGGGAUAGUUUCAUCUUCGGGUGUUUCGGUGGGGGAUGGGCUCGCGGCCUAUCAGCUUGUUGGUGGGGUGAUGGCCCACCAAGGCGGUGACGGGUAGCCGGCCUGAGAGGGUGGGCGGCCACACUGGGACUGAGACACGGCCCAGACUCCUGCGGGAGGCAGCAGUGGGGGGUAUUGCACAAUGGGCGGAAGCCUGAUGCAGCGACGUCGCGUGAGGGAUGGAGGCCUUCGGGUUGUGAACCUCUUUCUCCGGUGGUGAAGGCCCUGUCCGUUGCGGCGGGGUUGACGGUAGCCGGGGAUGAAGCGCCGGCUAACUACGUG